RNAcentral lists this ribosomal RNA (253 nucleotides) under uncultured bacterium. RNAcentral's name for it is "partial 16S ribosomal RNA". It matches the Rfam family "Bacterial small subunit ribosomal RNA", at positions 524 to 776 of the family's 1533-position model. The record is from RNAcentral.
UACGGAGGGUGCAAGCGUUAUCCGGAUUCACUGGGUUUAAAGGGUGCGUAGGUGGCUAUAUAAGUCAGUGGUGAAAGCCCGCGGCUCAACCGUGGAAUUGCCAUUGAAACUGCAUAGCUUGAGUACAGUUGAAGUGGGCGGAGUACAUCAUGUAGCGGUGAAAUGCUUAGAUAUGAUGUAGAACACCGAUUGCGAAGGCAGCUCACUAAGCUGUAACUGACACUGAGGCACGAAAGCGUGGGUAGCGAACAGG